Non-coding RNA from Paramuricea clavata, 205 nucleotides. The record is from the annotation of a GenBank genome assembly. Lineage: Eukaryota; Metazoa; Cnidaria; Anthozoa; Malacalcyonacea; Plexauridae.
AUUUUUAUAUAUUUCAUCCGCUAGACAAAGAUUUGGUCAUGGGAAUAAUUACUAGAAUAGGACAAGUCUUAGGGGCCAUUCACAAAGGAUGUCCGGCCAAAUGAUGGAUUUUCAGACCCCCCUCCCCCCCCCUUCCGGCAUUGUCCGAAUUAGUGACCCCCCGGACAUCCGCCAUGCCUCGCAAAAUGCUUGUAUAUGUCAAGAG